Long non-coding RNA from Oncorhynchus keta (chum salmon), 1228 nucleotides. RefSeq lists it as uncharacterized. NCBI's taxonomy places the organism in Eukaryota, Metazoa, Chordata, Actinopteri, Salmoniformes, Salmonidae. The transcript is spliced from 4 exons. The record is from RefSeq and is a predicted model, not a curated record.
UAUACACCUUUACCAGGUCAUGACAGUAGUAUACACCUUUACCAGGUCAUGACAGUAGUAUACACCUUUACCAGGUCAUGACAGUAUUAUACACCUUUACCAGGUCAUGACAGUACUAUACACCUUUACCAGGUCAUGAUAGUAUUAUACACCUUACCAGGUCAUGACAGUACCUUUACCAGGUCAUGACAGUACCUUUACCAGGUCAUGACAGUACUAUACACCUUUACCAGGUCAUGACAGUAUUAUACACCUUUACCAGGUCAUGACAGUACUAUACACCUUUACCAGGUCAUGACAGUAUUAUACACCUAUACCAGGUCAUGACAGUACCUUUACCAGGUCAUGACAGUACUAUACACCUUUACCAGGUCAUGACAGUACUAUACACCUUUACCAGGUCAUGACAGUACUAUACACCUUUACCAGGUCAUGACAGUACUAUACACCUUUACCAGGUCAUGACAGUACUAUACACCUUUACCAGGUCAUGACAGAAUAAACCACAAAUGGUUUAACGAGAAGGAAUUCUUUGGAUAGGUAGGAAUACUCUGUAUUGAUAAUGUAAGUUUACCGUAGAUUGAUAAUGUAGGGCUACUGUAGAUUGAUAAUGUAGGGCUACUGUAGAUUGAUAAUGUAAGGUUACCGUAGAUCGAUAAUGUAGGGCUAAUGUUGAUAAAUAACGUAGGGCUCCUGUAGAUUGAUAAUGUAGGGCUACUGUAGAUUGAUAAUGUAGGGCUACUGUAGAUUGAUAAUGUAGGGCUACUGUAGAUUGAUAAUGUAGGGCUACUGUAGAUUGAUAAUGUAAGGUUACCGUAGAUCGAUAAUGUAGGGCUACUGUUGGUAAAUAACGUAGGGCUACUGUAGAUUGAUAAUGUAAGCUACGUUUGAUAAAUAACUAGGGCUACUGUAUAUUGAUAAUGUAGGGCUACUGUAGAUUGAUAAUGUAGGGUUACUGUAGAUCGAUAAUGUAGGGCUACUGUUGGUAAAUAACGUAGGGCUACUGUAGAUUGAUAAUGUAGGGCUACUGUAGAUUGAUAAUUUAGGGCUACUGUAGAUUAAAAAGAUAGGGCUACUGUAGAUUGAUAAUGUAAGGUUACCGUAGAUUGAUAAUGUAGGACUACUGUAGAUAAAUAAUGUAGAGCUACUGUAGAUUGAAUUUGUCAGCUGUUAUUCUAGGUAGCUUCAGAUAUAUUAUCUCCCAGUACAAACCCGGUGUCCUUGUUCC